This 1314-nucleotide long non-coding RNA is filed under the name Oreochromis niloticus (Nile tilapia). RNAcentral describes it as "lncRNA (ENSONIG00000037660.1)". The record is from RNAcentral. Lineage: Eukaryota; Metazoa; Chordata; Actinopteri; Cichliformes; Cichlidae.
GUCAGUUUUAAAAUCAUAUGCACAAGUUUUGCAAACAACAAAGUUAUUUGCAUCCAUUUAACUUUUACCUUGAUUUUUUAAAUAACCAUUUCAAACUAUUUACAGAACAAUCAGCUGUUCUGCAUUCAAUAAGAUGCCACACAAAUUAUUUGUGCCACUCCAAAUAUUUCUGUCCACUAUAAAGGAGAACAUCACAUCCUGAGAGAAGGGUCUGGCUGCAGCCACUGUGGAGCUCCACAGUAACCGGAAACACGUGACCUCCACAGUAGCCGGAAACACGUGACCUCCACAGUAACCGGAAACACGUGACCUCCACAGUAACCGGAAACACGUGACCUCCACAGUAGGCAGAAAUACGUUCCUGCGUGGAUCAUCGACUGCGGAAAUCUUGCAAGUGGAUCGUAAAGGUUGGGACAGAGUCUUUCAUGUAUAAAUUUGCAGUUAAUAAUUAUAUAAUUUUAGGAAUCAGCUAGUUUGCUUACACUAAUUACGUUGGCACUUCGUUAGCGUUACAACAACGGUCAUACCUCCGAACUAUCUAAACUUUAGUAAGGAGUGUGUGUACUUUUGACACCUCUGGUUAGCAUUUAGUGGUCAGUUUCAAACGUAUUUAUUUUUUGCUUGUUAUUGAACUACUUUUCACUAUCUGUAACAUCAAUGCACAUUGUUCAAUUUACUGCAUAUUGCACUUUAUUCAUGUCUCUCAUUCCACCUGCAAAAACAUUGUAAAGUUUGUCACAAAGAGGUUUAUAUAUGUAUAAAUACUAAUAUUCUCUAUUCCAUUCUGUUCUGCUUUUUUAUUGCCCAGAUAUUAGUUAGCCUUUGUUAAAUUGUCUGUUAUAUGUCAAUAGAUACGUAUGCCACAAAUAAAAGUGUUUUGUAAAUUAUGUUUUUGUAAAGAAUUUUCUCCCAAAUCUCUUACAUGCUAACUGUAACGUGUUAUUUCUGCUAAAACCUGAACUUAAAUGUGUAUAUGGUGUUUAUCUGUUUUUCUCUCUGUUUUAGAUGCACAUAUCAAUUUGGAAUUCUGCCUCCAAGCCAGAAUUGCAGUAAUGCACCACGUGUUGGCUGUUUCACUGCCCUCUGUGCCCCACUUUCAGCCCUAUUGUCAGGAGCAUAUAAAUGGACACAUUAAAAAUGCUUUGCCUUUCAAAGACAAAAUGAUAUGCCAGUGCACUUUCACUGCCCUGUCUGUAACAUGACAAUCAUACAGCGUGGGGAUAUGGCAAGGCAAAUAUUGUCAUGUCAGCGUUUAGGACUGCUCCCCACUCAACUCUCCGUGGAGCCCCGCCUCUCUCCCGCUGCACUCUCUGU